This 245-nucleotide ribosomal RNA is filed under the name uncultured bacterium. RNAcentral's name for it is "partial 16S ribosomal RNA". It matches the Rfam family "Bacterial small subunit ribosomal RNA", at positions 532 to 776 of the family's 1533-position model. The record is from RNAcentral.
GUCCAAGCGUUGUCCGGAUUUAUUGGGCGUAAAGCGUGCGCAGGCGGUUAUGCAAGACAGAUGUGAAAUCCCCGGGCUCAACCUGGGAACUGCAUUAGUGACUGCAUAGCUAGAGUGCGGCAGAGGGGGAUGGAAUUCCGCGUGUAGCAGUGAAAUGCGUAGAAAUGCGGAGGAACACCGAUGGCGAAGGCAAUCCCCUGGGCCUGCACUGACGCUCAUGCACGAAAGCGUGGGGAGCAAACAGG